GACGAACGCUGGCGGCGUGCUUAACACAUGCAAGUCGAACGGAAAGGCCCUGCUUUUGUGGGGUGUUCGAGUGGCGAACGGGUGAGUAACACGUGAGUAACCUGCCCUUGACUUUGGGAUAACUUCAGGAAGCUGGGGCUAAUACCGGAUAGGAGCUCCUGCUGCAUGGUGGGGGUUGGAAAGUUUCGGCGGUUGGGGAUGGACUCGCGGCUUAUCAGCUUGUUGGUGGGGUAGUGGCUUACCAAGGCUUUGACGGGUAGCCGGCCUGAGAGGGUGACCGGCCACAUUGGGACUGAGAUACGGCCCAGACUCCUACGGGAGGCAGCAGUGGGGAAUAUUGCACAAUGGGCGGAAGCCUGAUGCAGCAACGCCGCGUGCGGGAUGACGGCCUUCGGGUUGUAAACCGCUUUCGCCUGUGACGAAGCGUGAGUGACGGUAAUGGGUAAAGAAGCACCGGCUAACUACGU
Molecule: ribosomal RNA, 467 nt
Filed under: uncultured bacterium
Lineage: Bacteria
Description: partial 16S ribosomal RNA
Rfam family: Bacterial small subunit ribosomal RNA
Source: RNAcentral